RNAcentral lists this ribosomal RNA (500 nucleotides) under uncultured bacterium. RNAcentral describes it as "partial 16S ribosomal RNA". It matches the Rfam family "Bacterial small subunit ribosomal RNA", at positions 30 to 523 of the family's 1533-position model. The record is from RNAcentral.
AUUGAACGCUGGCGGCAUGCUUUACACAUGCAAGUCGAACGGUAACAGGGUGCUUGCACCGCUGACGAGUGGCGAACGGGUGAGUAAUGCGUCGGAACGUGCCGAGUAGUGGGGGAUAACGCAGCGAAAGUCGUGCUAAUACCGCAUACGUACUGAGGUAGAAAGUGGGGGACCUUCGGGCCUCACGCUAUUCGAGCGGCCGACGUCUGAUUAGCUAGUAGGUGAGGUAAAGGCUCACCUAGGCGACGAUCAGUAGCGGGUCUGAGAGGAUGAUCCGCCACACUGGGACUGAGACACGGCCCAGACUCCUACGGGAGGCAGCAGUGGGGAAUUUUGGACAAUGGGCGAAAGCCUGAUCCAGCCAUGCCGCGUGUCUGAAGAAGGCCUUCGGGUUGUAAGGAACUUUUGUCAGGGAGGAAAUCCCUAGUGCUAAUAACACUGGGGGAUGACAGUACCUGAAGAAUAAGCACCGGCUAACUACGUGCCAGCAGCCGCUGUAA